This 756-nucleotide ribosomal RNA is filed under the name uncultured archaeon. Its description in RNAcentral is "bacterial SSU rRNA". It matches the Rfam family "Archaeal small subunit ribosomal RNA", at positions 102 to 859 of the family's 1478-position model. The record is from RNAcentral.
GGAUAACCUACCCUUGAGAUGGGGAUAAACCCGGGAAACUGGGUAUAAUACCCGAUAGAUCUCGACUGCUGGAAUGCAUCGAGAUCCAAAGCUCCGGCGCUCAAGGAUGGGUCUGCGGCCUAUCAGGUAGUAGUGGGUGUAGCGUACCUACUAGCCUACGACGGGUACGGGUUGUGAGAGCAAGAGCCCGGAGAUGGAUUCUGAGACACGAAUCCAGGCCCUACGGGGUGCAGCAGGCGCGAAAACUUUACAAUGCUGGAAACAGCGAUAAGGGGACCUCGAGUGCCAGGUUACAAAUCUGGCUGUCGUGAUGCCUAAAAAGCAUUGCAUAGCAAGGGCCGGGCAAGACCGGUGCCAGCCGCCGCGGUAACACCGGCGGCUCGAGUGGUAACCGUUAUUAUUGGGUCUAAAGGGUCUGUAGCCGGCCGGAUAAGUCUCUUGGGAAAUCUGGCAGCUUAACUGUCAGGCUUUCAGGAGAUACUGUCUGGCUCGAGGCCGGGAGAGGUGAGAAGUACUUCAGGGGUAGGGGUGAAAUCUUGUAAUCCUUGAAGGACCACCAGUGGCGAAGGCGUCUCACCAGAACGGACCUGACGGCAAGGGACGAAAGCUAGGGGCACGAACCGGAUUAGAUACCCGGGUAGUCCUAGCCGUAAACGAUACUCGCUAGGUGUCGGCAACGGUGCGACCGUUGUCGGUGCCGUAGGGAAGCCGUGAAGCGAGCCACCUGGGAAGUACGGCCGCAAGGCUGAAACUUAA